RNAcentral lists this ribosomal RNA (330 nucleotides) under uncultured eukaryote. RNAcentral describes it as "partial 18S ribosomal RNA". It matches the Rfam family "Eukaryotic small subunit ribosomal RNA", at positions 1470 to 1796 of the family's 1831-position model. The record is from RNAcentral.
UCCUUAGAUGUUCUGGGCCGCACGCGCGCUACACUGAUGCAUUCAACGAGUCUAAAACCUGGUCUGAUAGGGCUGGGUAAUCUUUUGAAAGUGCAUCGUGAUUGGGAUAGAUGAUUGCAAUUCUUCAUCUUCAACGAGGAAUGCCUAGUAAACGCAAGUCAUCAGCUUGCAUUGAUUACGUCCCUGCCCUUUGUACACACCGCCCGUCGCUCCUACCGAUUGAAUGAUACGAUGAAUACCAUGGAUUGAGAGUACGAAUGGGUUCGCUCAUUUCUGCUGCUCGAGAAGUGGAGUAAAUCUUAUCAUUUAGAGGAAGGAGAAGUCGUAACA